GGGCCCGUAGUUCAGUGGCAGAAUGCCUCGUUUGCAACGAGGAGGUCAGCGGUUCAAAUCCGCUCGGGUCCACAA
RNAcentral lists this transfer RNA (75 nucleotides) under Candidatus Portnoyibacteriota bacterium. RNAcentral's name for it is "tRNA-Ala". It matches the Rfam family "tRNA". Rfam says of the family: Transfer RNA (tRNA) molecules are approximately 80 nucleotides in length. Their secondary structure includes four short double-helical elements and three loops (D, anti-codon, and T loops). The record is from RNAcentral. Lineage: Bacteria; Candidatus Portnoyibacteriota.